This 372-nucleotide ribosomal RNA is filed under the name uncultured organism. RNAcentral describes it as "bacterial SSU rRNA". It matches the Rfam family "Bacterial small subunit ribosomal RNA", at positions 526 to 896 of the family's 1533-position model. The record is from RNAcentral.
CGAGGGGUGCAAGCGUUGCUCGGAAUUAUUGGGCGUAAAGGGUUGGUAGGUGGUCUUGUUUGUCUAGGGUGAAAUCCCAUGGCUUAACUGUGGAAGUGCCCUAGAAACGGCAAGACUAGAGUCCUAGAGGGGUUUGUGGAAUUCCCGGUGUAGCGGUGAAAUGCGUAGAGAUCGGGAGGAACACCAGCGGCGAAGGCGGCAAACUGGAUAGGCACUGACACUCAACAACGAAAGCGUGGGGAGCAAACAGGAUUAGAUACCCUGGUAGUCCACGCUGUAAACGAUGGGUACUAGGCUUUGUGGGAAUAGACCCCUGCAGAGCCGGAGCUAACGCAAUAAGUACCCCGCCUGGGAAGUACGGUCGCAAGACUA